UCACACAAGAGACCCAAAUUAACCACACACGGCGUAAAGAGUGGACCCAUAGUUAUCGCACCAAUUAAGGUCAAAACGCAACUGAGCUGUCAUAAGCUUAAGAUGCAUUUAAAACCGCCCUAAAGACGACCUUAACACUCCCGAUCAAAUAAAUUCCACGAAAGCUAGGACACAAACUGGGAUUAGAUACCCCACUAUGCCUAGCCCUAAAUCUCGAUGCUCACCUCCACUAGAGCAUCCGCCCGAGGACUACGAGCACAAACGCUUAAAACUCUAAGGACUUGGCGGUGCCCCAAACCCACCUAGAGGAGCCUGUUCUAUAAUCGACAACCCACGAUAUACCCGACCACUUCUUGCCUAACCAGCCUACAUACCGCCGUCGCCAGCCCACCUCCCCUGAGAGAACAACAGUGAGCACAAUCGCCUUAACCCCGCUAACAAGACAGGUCAAGGUAUAGCCCAUGAAGUGGAAGAAAUGGGCUACAUUUUCUAGCCUAGAAAACCAAACGAAAAGGGGCAUGAAAUAGCCCCUAGAAGGCGGAUUUAGCAGUAAAGGGGAACAAUAAAGUCCCCUUUAAACCGGCCCUGAGGCACGUACAUACCGCCCGUCACCCUCCUCACAAGCCCCAAACCUCCAUAAAUAAUACACCCUCUUGCUAAAGACGAGGUAAGUCGUAACAAGGUAAGUGUACCGG
Molecule: ribosomal RNA, 695 nt
Filed under: Turtur chalcospilos (emerald-spotted wood-dove)
Lineage: Eukaryota; Metazoa; Chordata; Aves; Columbiformes; Columbidae
Description: partial 12S ribosomal RNA
Rfam family: Bacterial small subunit ribosomal RNA
Source: RNAcentral